GGGGGCGAUCGGCUUCGACGGGGGUCGUGAAGUCACUUGAUGCAUGUCGAGGGGGCAGCUUUCCUCGUAAAUCCAGCGGCAAACAAGCUUAGUUGCGAACGACGACAACUACGCACUGGCCGCCUAAAUAGGCCAGUCCGGAACCCAUCGGUGCCUGCAACGGUGGAGUUUCCGGUCAUAUUUGCAGGAUCGCCCGGCUGUGUCGUCUGCCGCUGACGGGCUAAAUCAAGCGGACUGGUCCGGCGGUGUGCUUCGCACGUCGUGUUGCCGUCGGGCGAGAUCAAACGGCGAGCUAAACAUGUAGAUUCGAGGAUGGAGCAUCUUCGGACGGGGGUUCAAUUCCCCCCGCCUCCACCA
Molecule: transfer-messenger RNA, 357 nt
Filed under: Lysobacteraceae
Lineage: Bacteria; Pseudomonadati; Pseudomonadota; Gammaproteobacteria; Lysobacterales
Also listed under: 3 other names
Description: JACKOX01 sp024233975 Standard tmRNA
Rfam family: transfer-messenger RNA
About the family: Bacterial tmRNA, also known as 10Sa RNA or SsrA, is named for its dual tRNA and mRNA-like properties.
Source: RNAcentral